UACGUAGGGCGCAAGCGUUAUCCGGAAUUAUUGGGCGUAAAGAGCUCGUAGGCGGUUUGUUGCGUCGGCUGUGAAAUCCCGAGGCUCAACCUCGGGUCUGCAGUCGAUACGAGCAAACUAGAGUGUUGCAGGGGAGACUGGAAUUCCUGGUGUAGCGGUGAAAUGCGCAGAUAUCAGGAGGAAUACCAGCGGCGAAGGCGGCGCUCUGGGCCGAAAAUUGACGCUGAGGAGCGAAAGCCGUGGGGAGCAAACAGG
Molecule: ribosomal RNA, 255 nt
Filed under: uncultured bacterium
Lineage: Bacteria
Description: partial 16S ribosomal RNA
Rfam family: Bacterial small subunit ribosomal RNA
Source: RNAcentral